CCUACGGGCGGCAGCAGUGGGGAAUAUUGCACAAUGGGCGCAAGCCUGAUGCAGCCAUGCCGCGUGUGUGAAGAAGGCCUUCGGGUUGUAAAGCACUUUCAGCGGGGAGGAAGGCGUUAAGGUUAAUAACCUUGUCGAUUGACGUUACCCGCAGAAGAAGCACCGGCUAACUCCGUGCCAGCAGCCGCGGUAAUACGGAGGGUGCAAGCGUUAAUCGGAAUUACUGGGCGUAAAGCGCACGCAGGCGGUCUGUCAAGUCGGAUGUGAAAUCCCCGGGCUCAACCUGGGAACUGCAUUCGAAACUGGCAGGCUAGAGUCUUGUAGAGGGGGGUAGAAUUCCAGGUGUAGCGGUGAAAUGCGUAGAGAUCUGGAGGAAUACCGGUGGCGGAGGCGGCCCCCUGGACAAAGACUGACGCUCAGGUGCGAAAGCGUGGGGAGCAAACAGGAUUAGAUACCCGAGUAGUC
This 465-nucleotide ribosomal RNA is filed under the name uncultured Klebsiella sp. RNAcentral's name for it is "bacterial SSU rRNA". It matches the Rfam family "Bacterial small subunit ribosomal RNA", at positions 338 to 795 of the family's 1533-position model. The record is from RNAcentral. Lineage: Bacteria; Pseudomonadati; Pseudomonadota; Gammaproteobacteria; Enterobacterales; Enterobacteriaceae.